This 272-nucleotide ribosomal RNA is filed under the name uncultured bacterium. Its description in RNAcentral is "partial 16S ribosomal RNA". It matches the Rfam family "Bacterial small subunit ribosomal RNA", at positions 335 to 604 of the family's 1533-position model. The record is from RNAcentral.
AUGCCUACGGGGGGCAGCAGUGAGGAAUAUUGGUCAAUGGCCGCAGGGCUGAACCAGCCAAGUCGCGUGAGGGAUGACGGUCCUGUGGAUUGUAAACCUCUUUUGUCAGGGAGCAAAGGGCGCCACGUGUGGCGUUUUGCGAGUACCUGAAGAAAAAGCAUCGGCUAACUCCGUGCCAGCAGCCGCGGUAAUACGGAGGAUGCGAGCGUUAUCCGGAUUUAUUGGGUUUAAAGGGUGCGUAGGCGGAAUGCCACGUCAGCGGUAAAAUCGCG